Molecule: ribosomal RNA, 253 nt
Filed under: uncultured bacterium
Lineage: Bacteria
Description: partial 16S ribosomal RNA
Rfam family: Bacterial small subunit ribosomal RNA
Source: RNAcentral
UACGUAGGGUGCAAGCGUUAAUCGGAAUUACUGGGCGUAAAGCGUGCGCAGGCGGUUUUGUAAGACCGAUGUGAAAUCCCCGGGCUUAACCUGGGAACUGCAUUGGUGACUGCAAGGCUUGAGUGUGUCAGAGGGAGGUGGAAUUCCGCGUGUAGCAGUGAAAUGCGUAGAGAUCUGGAGGAACACCGAUGGCGAAGGCAGCCUUCUGGGCCAACACUGACGCUCAUGCACGAAAGCGUGGGGAGCAAACAGG